AAUAUACUAAAUUUUCACUUUUUACCUUUAAUUUUGACUCUUCGUCUUAUUCAAAUUUUUUUUACGAUUGAUAUCUUUGUUUUUAUUAGAUGAUAAAUCAUGAAUAGUACUUUACGUGUGACUAAUUUUUUUCUAAUUUUCUGAAAAUUUUUCAAAUAAGACGAAUGAUCAAAUCGUUGGACACGGAAACCGUAGAAUUUAUU
This 203-nucleotide microRNA precursor is filed under the name Oryza brachyantha (malo sina). RNAcentral describes it as "MIR812 microRNA precursor family". It matches the Rfam family "MIR812 microRNA precursor family". The record is from Rfam by way of RNAcentral. Lineage: Eukaryota; Viridiplantae; Streptophyta; Magnoliopsida; Poales; Poaceae.